Molecule: ribosomal RNA, 253 nt
Filed under: uncultured bacterium
Lineage: Bacteria
Description: partial 16S ribosomal RNA
Rfam family: Bacterial small subunit ribosomal RNA
Source: RNAcentral
UACGGAGGGUGCAAGCGUUAUCCGGAUUCACUGGGUUUAAAGGGUGCGUAGGUGGGCUAUUAAGUCAGUGGUGAAAGCCCCGAGCUCAACUUGGGAACUGCCAUUGAUACUAUUAGUCUUGAAUACUGUAGAGGUAGGCGGAAUACAUCAUGUAGCGGUGAAAUGCUUAGAUAUGAUGUAGAACACCGAUUGCGAAGGCAGCUUACUAUGCAGUGAUUGACACUGAGGCACGAAAGCGUGGGGAUCAAACAGG